Molecule: long non-coding RNA, 2063 nt
Filed under: Sus scrofa (pig)
Lineage: Eukaryota; Metazoa; Chordata; Mammalia; Artiodactyla; Suidae
Description: lncRNA (ENSSSCG00055000040.1, ENSSSCG00150029288.1, ENSSSCG00160043164.1, ENSSSCG00175025699.1)
Source: RNAcentral
AUUAGCAAGAACAAGUGAAAAAGAUGGCUGUUCCACCAGAAACCCAUUGAAUAUGAUAAUGGAGACCCCUCCUCCCCGCUCAGAUUCGGGCUGGAGACCACCCCUGGUGCCUUCCUGCUCUAACCGAGGAAAGAGAUCUCCACGUUAACAGAUUCUUAACUGGCUGGUGUGAAGAGUCAUUCCAAGGUAAGCUAAGCUCAGAUAUUUGCUAAAUUGAUUAUGGCUGUUGUUUUUCAUAGUCAAGAAAGUCAGUUUUUGGAAAAGGACAUCGCCACCACAAAAUCAUAUUUUCAAAGAAAAUGCUGGUGCUUUCUUCAUAGUUGGCAUGGUCAUCUGAUAUUUUGUUAUGGUUUAUCUGUUUGUUCAUUUUGGGUCUCCCCAUCAGAAUAUAAGCUCCCUGAGGUCAUGGUCUUGUUUAUUUAGUUCGAGGCUCUAUCUUCACUGACUCCAAGAAUGCUGACACAUGACAGGUACUCGAUAAAUAUUUUUUUGAGUGAAUGUAGACAUAAUAUUUGUUUUCAAGAGAAAACGACUUUGGAAUUUGUGUAGUCCUGGAAGAAUGUUGAUUGGCCCAGGCAGUCAUCUUACUGUUCUGUGGGCAGGCUCAAUUUAUCUGCUUAUUCAAACAAUCUUUAUUGAGGACCUACUAUGUUCUAGACCCUGUUCUAAACACAGUAGAUACAGCAGUUCACAGUGCACAGCACCUGCUCCUCAUGGACCUUACCUUCUCAUGGGGAGAACAGAAAUCAAACACAUAAUUAACACAAGGGAUAAAUGUAAAGUCAGGUAAUCAUUUUGAAGCAAAAAAUAUAGGGGACAUGAGAACAUGCUGAAAUGGAAGACUAGUCUAGUUUGGAGAGACCAGGAAAUCUUCGCGAGGUAAGUAACAUUUAACUAGAGACUUUAAGGAUAAAUAGGAGUUGGAGAGAAUUCAGAGCAGAGGAAAGCAGGAGGAAAGGUUGUGAGGUGGGAGCAGCUUCAUGUUUGAAAUGCAGCAAGAAAACCAGUGUGGCAGGAGAGGGCAGAAUGUGCGAUUGGAAAGCAAGCAAGCUUUGGUGGAAUGACUGGGUCUGUGAAAGCCAUACUGAAGAAUUCUGCUUUUAUUCUGAAAGCCCUAAGAUGUCAUCAAAGUAUUCUAAGUAAGGUGGUAAAGUGAUCAAGUUGUAACUUUAAAAUUUUUAUUCAAAUAAAUUAGAAAUAAAAUUAUUUUUAAAUGGUGAGAGGAGUUCAUUUUUAGUUUUCCUUGGGUUCUCUUACAAGAAGGAGAUAACAGAUACUCUUAAAGUCAAUGAAGAGCUAAUGGUUGGGGGCAAAAAGGCCUUACCUCCAAUUAACCAUGUGUUAUCUCAGUCCUAGCCCAUACGCAUCUUCAUCGUAGCCUGCUUCUGAAAGUGUCACAAACUUCAGAGAUUUAAUGAGAUCUUUUGGUUUCAUUUUGAAUUAAAUAAGAAAUGGCUAGUAAUGAGAGCCUGCUGCAUAGCACUGGAAACUGUAUAGAGUCACUUAUGAUGGAGCAUGAUAAUGUGAGAAAAAAGAAUGUGUACAUGUAUGACUGGGUCACCUUGCUGUUCAGUAGAAAAUUGACUGAACACCUUAAACCAGCUAUAAUGUAAAAAAUAAAAAUCAUUAAAAAAGAGAAAUUGGUAAGGUGCUAAGGUGCUAAGUGUUCAAAAUGUUUUCUCCCUUUGCUAAAUUUGCAUAGAUAGUUACUGUCAAUUCAUGCAAUUAUUUGAUUAAUUCUUCCUUCACUUCUACAACAAAUAUAAGCACUUCAUAUAUGUUAUGCCAUAGUUGGCCCGGGCUAGAAAUACACUUAAAAUAUUCUCUACGAGCCAUGUAAAUUGUGCUCAACAAAUGUUUGAUGGAUAGCUGAGUGAUACAGUGUUUCUGAUCAGGAAUAGACACAUAAAUAAUAUAACCUGGCCCUUGUUAUAGGAGAUACAAGAAAAAGAUAGUGCUCUGGGAGAAAGCAAUCUUAAACAUGAGCAUAAAAAGAAUAGGAGGACAUUGUAAAUAAACUUCAAUAAAACUUUAAAAGGAGAAGAAGGGAAAAAAAAAAAAAA